This is a long non-coding RNA of Lagopus muta (rock ptarmigan), 1280 nucleotides long. RefSeq lists it as uncharacterized. The transcript has 3 exons. NCBI's taxonomy places the organism in Eukaryota, Metazoa, Chordata, Aves, Galliformes, Phasianidae. The record is from RefSeq and is a predicted model, not a curated record.
CUUUUCCUUUUUCUCUUUCCCUUUUUUAACCAUUUGCUCAGUGGUUAAACUGAGUGGGAUGGAGGGAAACCAAGAGGAGAUCAGCAAAGCUUGAUUUUCACUUUUUACCCCCCAGUUGGUGCAGUCACCAAGGGAUUCCUACAGCCCUGAUGGGAGAAGCUUUCAGAGCUGUGCUUCACUGUGCAGAAGCAUCAUCCCCAAUCUUCCCAGAGCCAAAGGACAGUUCAAAUUAGGAAAAAAUUCUUCUCAGAAGGCUUUGCUACACCUCCUCUUUGGCCUCUUCUGUAGCCAUUCUUAUCACCACAUACAUAAUUUGGGAUGUGAAGGGGAGCCAGGAUAAAACUGUCUUCCCUGAUUUGUUAUCAAUGUGUUGGACCAGGCCUUUAGCUGGUGUAACCAGCACCACUCUAUUGCUAUGCAGAGAGAAAGGGUUGACCGAAUCAAUAAAAGUUUGUUGAAAGCAACAGAACUGGGAAGAGGAAUGAGACCUUCCAGCUGUACCCCAAAGCAACAGAAGUGAUUAAUGACUGCAGCAAACUCUGCUCUUGGUCUCCGUUUCUGCGUGAUGACUGGAUGCCUUUGGGGAAGAUGACCUUGAGACAGGGCAGCUGAAGGAAGUGUGAUGACCUGAGGAUGACAGGAAGAUGGGUGUUAUCAGUUCCUUCUAAGCAAAGCUGAGGGAUUCUGUUCACAUAACUGUGGACUUUUAGAAUUGAAAUAUUGCCACCUGAGCACAUUUUAGCUGAUCUAUUCUGUACGGGUUGGGACGAUAAGUCUUGAGCUCUGGGCUCUGUGGACUACAUUGACUAGACCUUUACCAACUCUCAAGGGAUUUCAUGUGACAAGUAGGAAGUGAAAGUGUUUGUGAAUACACAUCUACUCACUGUCUGAAGCCACCUUGUAUCCCUAAAACCUCUUUGUUGAAUGCUUUGGAAGAUGUUAAUAGGUGUUGAGAUAUACAUCAGUGUGGUUGGGACUUCCAACAUCUACUCUAACUGGAAUUCUUCUUGUCAACCGCAUUCACAAGCCAGACUUCUCUGUACCAAAACCAGCGAGAAAGAUUUGGAAUCAAGGUCAUAGCACUUCAGUAGAAAAUAUUUCAUGUGUGUAUGGGGAGUUACUACAUUAUGGUGAAAGAGUUUUCAAAAGUGAAGAAAGAUAAACAGGGUGCUAAAAUGAACUGAGUCUAAUGUUUUUUUUAUACAGCUGUCAGCUUUAUGAACAAUCCAUAAACAUAUUGUGAGCCCCUUUUAUGGCUUACAUGGGGCUAUCAAACCAAC